UAAUCGGUGCUUGCACUUCUUUUUCUCUCAACAUUAAAAUUGCACAAAAAAUGAUGAACAAACUCUGACCAGACAAAAAGUCACAAAACCGAUCCUUAUCUGUGACUGCGAGUGUUGCCAUGUGAGUGUUGUAUCGCAUGAUGCUCCCUGUUGCGGUCUGUGGGUGUUGCCGUUGCUUGUGUUGCCAUCGCUGCUGCUCUCUUUUCUGCCGUGGUUGACUCCAUCGUGGCGCUGCCGGUUCAGAUAGUGAUUUGAGGAGUUGAGGCAAGGAGUAAUCACUGUAUGGCCGAAGUUUAGGCAAAGUGGAAUGCUGAACCCCAUUUGAAACAUGUUUUCGUACCAUUUGUUUUGUUAUAAGGAUUAUAUUUGUUGAUAUUUUCUGCAAUCCUAUGAUUUAUUUCUCAAUUCAGAUGGUUAUUAUGUGGGAAUUUAGGAUAUAACACUCCAUUGACCAUGUAUACCUUUUCAUCUGUAAUCUGUUCUGGAGCAUGUCUGGCAAUAAAUUAUUUCAAAUAAAUAAGUGUUUUAUAA
This is a long non-coding RNA of Arachis duranensis, 531 nucleotides long. RefSeq lists it as uncharacterized. The transcript is spliced from 2 exons. The record is from RefSeq and is a predicted model, not a curated record. NCBI's taxonomy places the organism in Eukaryota, Viridiplantae, Streptophyta, Magnoliopsida, Fabales, Fabaceae.